RNAcentral lists this ribosomal RNA (253 nucleotides) under uncultured bacterium. Its description in RNAcentral is "partial 16S ribosomal RNA". It matches the Rfam family "Bacterial small subunit ribosomal RNA", at positions 524 to 776 of the family's 1533-position model. The record is from RNAcentral.
UACGGAGGAUCCAAGCGUUAUCCGGAAUCAUUGGGUUUAAAGGGUCCGUAGGCGGUUUUGUAAGUCAGUGGUGAAAGCCCAUCGCUCAACGGUGGAACGGCCAUUGAUACUGCAAGACUUGAAUUAUUGGGAAGUAACUAGAAUAUGUAGUGUAGCGGUGAAAUGCUUAGGGAUUACAUGGAAUACCAAUUGCGAAGGCAGGUUACUACUAAUGGAUUGACGCUGAUGGACGAAAGCGUGGGUAGCGAACAGG